GGAUGCGAUCAUACCAGUGUUAGUGAAUCGGAUCCCAUCAGAACUCUGCAGUUGAGUGCGCUUGGGCUAGAGUAGUACUGGGAUGGGUGACCUCCCUCGAAGUCUUAGUGGUGAACCCU
Picea glauca (white spruce) is the source of this 119-nucleotide non-coding RNA. The record is from Rfam. Lineage: Eukaryota; Viridiplantae; Streptophyta; Pinopsida; Pinales; Pinaceae.